Long non-coding RNA from Cucumis sativus (cucumber), 912 nucleotides. RefSeq lists it as uncharacterized. The record is from RefSeq and is a predicted model, not a curated record. The transcript is spliced from 2 exons. NCBI's taxonomy places the organism in Eukaryota, Viridiplantae, Streptophyta, Magnoliopsida, Cucurbitales, Cucurbitaceae.
UCUCUUUUCCUUUCUCUUUUCUCUUCUCCUUCCGUCUCCUUCCGUUCGCAGCCAGCAACCGCCGCCCCUUCUUCUCUUUUCUUCCUCUUUCGUUCGACGUCGACGAUCAGACCAAGCCGAAAACGAAAACCCAUCCCUCUUUUCUUCUUCGGAUCUAACCGCCGCGCCCAUCCGCCUGUAACCGUCGUGCCUCUCCGCUCACAACCGUCGUGCCUCCCUCGGAAAGCAAAUCGUCGUCCAGAUCUGCAUUGCCGAGCCGUCCAGGUCCUCGCCGCCGCUCGUGCUUCACCUUGUAGUUCGCCGUAACCCAGAUCCAUCGCUGUCCGAUCUCUUCUCCUCGUCCCGCCGUCGCCGCUGCACUCGCCUGAAGUCAUCGUCCGUCCUGUUUCGCGAAGCUCCGCCGCUCCACCUGUUAUCGACGCCGGCCGACUAGCUACUAUUAAAAAAAAAAAAUCCAAAACCCUUCUGCCUUCGUUUGCAAAACGUCGCGGCGUGAAUUCUGCCUUCUAAUCGUGGAUUUGACCUCCAAGUUGUGAUACUGAAGAGGUCGUGCUUAGAUAUCUAAGUUCCAACGUGAGCUUCAUUGGAAUUGUUGCUUCAUUCUACUUGGAAUUUGUCUUAUUGAAUUUAGCCCGAUUGAAAAACUUACAUAACCUUGAGGUAAGGGAUUUUCUACUGGACUCACCUAAAGUUUUUGAGUUGUGUUGGACUGUAUGGAUGAUGAUUAAGAUGUACAUGUUUGAUUGCAGACUAAAUGUUUAGUGUAUGUUGUAUUUGACUGGAAACAUAUAUAUAUACAUUGAUGUGUGAAUUGAUGUGGAUUGCCGAAAGUAUACAUGUGAAUGACUGAAAUUAUGCUUAUGUGUACAUGAUGAUAUUAAUAGAUUGUGCUGUAUAAAGAUUGGAUGUGAA